UUCUAAAUAAAUAAAAAGAAAGAAAAAGAAAUAAAGAUAGAAGGAAGAAUUGGAAAGGGAAUUAGCAAAUUGGUAUAAAAUGUACAAAACUUUGCCCAAGCAACAAACUCCAUGAAAAUGAGAAUGGACCAGAUAAAAACUCCACAAGUCAAUAAAAAAUUGUGAAAAUGAAUUUAAAAGACUAAAAAAGAAGAAAAAAAUGUAGGCUUUCUCAUUUAAAAAUAAAACUACUGAUCUGGAACUGAGUAGAGGACCUGAAAGCAAUGAUGGAAAAAGAACCCAGAUAUAUAUAAAGAAAACUGCCCAGAUCUCUUAGAAUCAGAAGAUGAUAGAAAAGUAGAAUCAACUGGUUAUCUCCUGAAAAAAAAAACCCUAAAUGAAAACUCCCCAAAACAUUAUAAUUUAAAUCUAGAGCUUCUAGGUUAAAGGAAAAAGUACUGCACAUGACCAAAAACAAUGAAUCAAAUAAAGGAACCUCACUCAGGAUCACAUACAAUUUAGCAGUCAUCUCUAUAGGAACAGAGAGUUUGGAAUGUGAUAUUCCAUAAAAGCAAAAGGCAUAGGUUUACAACUAUAAGUUGGUCCUACAAAAUUAAAAAUGGAUCUUUAAGGAAAUAAGGAAUUUCCAAGCAUUUCUAAUGAAAAGACUAGAACUGUUUAGAAACUCUGAAAUGCAAACACAGGAGUUAAAAGAUACAUGAAGUAAACAUGAGUAAGCAAUCACAAGAGACCAAGUAAGGACAAAUCACUCACAUUCUAAUGUGUGAAUCAUAUCACAUUAGGGGUUAUAGAGUGAGGUAAAUCAGACCUGGGAGUAAAUCUAUUAUCUUUUAAGGAUCCCCUCCUUUUAAAAAAAGUUUUACCAAUGUAUUGUUUUUUAGAUCAAAAACAUUUACUGAUAACCUACUUUUUGAGAGGUCUCUUGUUACAAAGUAAAGUAAAAAAAGUUGUCUCUUGUCUCUUGUUACAAAGUAAAACACAGUUACAUAAAACUAAUACUGUAACCUCAAUUGAAUGUUUGUGUAAUACUUCACCUCUGUAGCAUCCCCCCGCCUUAAAAAAAUGUAACAAAAAUCUAUUUUCUCUCCAUCUCACCUCCUACUCCACUAGGGGAAAAAAAAGAGAAAAAUUUCUUUGGACAAAUAUGUAUACUCAAGGAAGUCAUAAACCUUUGCCACUCUGAUGGGGGUGUGCAAGUAGAAGUCUCUGAAAUCAAGGAGGAAGGGGUAGGAGGAGUGGACAACACUGGCACCUUACUCUGAUCUGAAUCGGUUAAAGGAGGAGGGAGUGCAUGCCCAUGUACACACAUUGAGUACAGAAUUACAUUUUAAUCAACAAGGAAUCAGAAAGGAAAGGUGAAAAAGACUUGGAAACUGAAGAGAUGCCUAUCGAUUGGAGAACGGCUGAAUAAGUUGUGGCAUCUGGAUGUGAUGCAAUAGUGUUGUAGUGCUGUAAGAAAUGAUGAAGAGAAUGGAUCCACAGACACCUGGGAAGACUUUUUGAAAUGACAGAGUAAAGUGAGCAGAAGCAGGAGAAUAAUUUAUAUGAUAACAACAACACAGUAAAGACAAACAACUUUAAAAGCUUAGGGACUCUGAACAACGUAAGGCCAACCAAAAUUCCAGAGCAUUCAUGUUGAAACAUACUCAUCUUCUGAUAGAGAAAUGACGGCCUCCAAUGCAGAUGGAAACAUUUUCUUGGAUUAUGGCCAACAAAGUUAUUUGUUUUUCUAGAUUAUGUAUUUAUUAAAGAUUUUUGUUUUUCAUUCCUUUUUUAUAAGUUAUUUUAUUUAAUCAUGUAAUAACAUGGCAAUGUUAGCAUGAUAACAUGUAAUAACAAAUUUCCACAUAAGUUUUCCGAAAUUCUAUGAUCCAA
Molecule: long non-coding RNA, 1875 nt
Organism: Gracilinanus agilis (Agile Gracile Mouse Opossum)
Lineage: Eukaryota; Metazoa; Chordata; Mammalia; Didelphimorphia; Didelphidae
Exons: 3
Source: RefSeq, a predicted model, not a curated record